This 253-nucleotide ribosomal RNA is filed under the name uncultured bacterium. RNAcentral describes it as "partial 16S ribosomal RNA". It matches the Rfam family "Bacterial small subunit ribosomal RNA", at positions 524 to 776 of the family's 1533-position model. The record is from RNAcentral.
UACGUAGGGUCCGAGCGUUGUCCGGAAUUAUUGGGCGUAAAGGGCUCGUAGGCGGUCUGUUGCGUCGGGAGUGAAAACUUACAGCUUAACUGUGAGCGUGCUUCCGAUACGGGCAGACUUGAGGUAUUCAGGGGAGAACGGAAUUCCUGGUGUAGCGGUGAAAUGCGCAGAUAUCAGGAGGAACACCGGUGGCGAAGGCGGUUCUCUGGGAAUGUACUGACGCUGAGGAGCGAAAGUGUGGGGAGCGAACAGG